Triticum aestivum (bread wheat) is the source of this 125-nucleotide non-coding RNA. The record is from Rfam. NCBI's taxonomy places the organism in Eukaryota, Viridiplantae, Streptophyta, Magnoliopsida, Poales, Poaceae.
AUGGUACUCCCUCCGUCCGGAAAUACUUGUCGGAGGAAUGGAUGCAUCUAGACAUAUCUUAGUCCUAGAUACAUUCAUUUUUAUCAAUUUCUUCGACAAAUAUUUUCGGACGGAGGGAGUACAUG